GACGAACGCUGGCGGCGUGCCUAAUACAUGCAAGUCGAGCGGACGAAUCGAAAGCUUGCUUUUGAUUCGUUAGCGGCGGACGGGUGAGUAACACGUGGGCAACCUGCCCUGUAGACGGGGAUAACACCGAGAAAUCGGUGCUAAUACCGGAUAACACGAAAUGUCGCAUGACGUUUCGUUGAAAGAUGGCGCAAGCUGUCGCUACAGGAUGGGCCCGCGGCGCAUUAGCUAGUUGGUGAGGUAACGGCUCACCAAGGCGACGAUGCGUAGCCGACCUGAGAGGGUGAUCGGCCACACUGGGACUGAGACACGGCCCAGACUCCUACGGGAGGCAGCAGUAGGGAAUCUUCCGCAAUGGACGAAAGUCUGACGGAGCAACGCCGCGUGAGCGAAGAAGGCCUUCGGGUCGUAAAGCUCUGUUGUUAGGGAAGAACAAGUAACGCAGUAACUGGCGUUACCGUGACGGUACCUAACGAGAAAGCCACGGCUAACUACGUG
This 498-nucleotide ribosomal RNA is filed under the name uncultured bacterium. Its description in RNAcentral is "partial 16S ribosomal RNA". It matches the Rfam family "Bacterial small subunit ribosomal RNA", at positions 28 to 507 of the family's 1533-position model. The record is from RNAcentral.